This 741-nucleotide ribosomal RNA is filed under the name Rothia mucilaginosa. RNAcentral describes it as "bacterial SSU rRNA". It matches the Rfam family "Bacterial small subunit ribosomal RNA", at positions 28 to 776 of the family's 1533-position model. The record is from RNAcentral. Lineage: Bacteria; Bacillati; Actinomycetota; Actinomycetes; Micrococcales; Micrococcaceae.
GACGAACGCUGGCGGCGUGCUUAACACAUGCAAGUCGAACGAUGAAGCCUAGCUUGCUAGGUGGAUUAGUGGCGAACGGGUGAGUAAUACGUGAGUAACCUACCUUUAACUCUGGGAUAAGCCUGGGAAACUGGGUCUAAUACCGGAUACGACCAAUCUCCGCAUGGGGUGUUGGUGGAAAGCGUUAUGUAGUGGUUAUAGAUGGGCUCACGGCCUAUCAGCUUGUUGGUGAGGUAACGGCUCACCAAGGCGACGACGGGUAGCCGGCCUGAGAGGGUGACCGGCCACACUGGGACUGAGACACGGCCCAGACUCCUACGGGAGGCAGCAGUGGGGAAUAUUGCACAAUGGGCGCAAGCCUGAUGCAGCGACGCCGCGUGAGGGAUGACGGCCUUCGGGUUGUAAACCUCUGUUAGUAGGGAAGAAGAGAGAUUGACGGUACCUGCAGAGAAAGCGCCGGCUAACUACGUGCCAGCAGCCGCGGUAAUACGUAGGGCGCGAGCGUUGUCCGGAAUUAUUGGGCGUAAAGAGCUUGUAGGCGGUUUGUCGCGUCUGCUGUGAAAGGCCGGAGCUUAACUCCGUGUAUUGCAGUGGGUACGGGCAGACUAGAGUGCAGUAGGGGAGACUGGAAUUCCUGGUGUAGCGGUGGAAUGCGCAGAUAUCAGGGGGAACACCGAUGGCGAAGGCAGGUCUCUGGGCUGUAACUGACGCUGAGAAGCGAAAGCAUGGGGAGCGAACAGG